RNAcentral lists this ribosomal RNA (137 nucleotides) under Phytophthora infestans T30-4. Its description in RNAcentral is "5.8S ribosomal RNA". It matches the Rfam family "5.8S ribosomal RNA", at positions 19 to 154 of the family's 154-position model. Rfam says of the family: 5.8S ribosomal RNA (5.8S rRNA) is a component of the large subunit of the eukaryotic ribosome. It is transcribed by RNA polymerase I as part of the 45S precursor that also contains 18S and 28S rRNA. The record is from RNAcentral. Lineage: Eukaryota; Oomycota; Peronosporomycetes; Peronosporales; Peronosporaceae.
UCUAGGCUCGCACAUCGAUGAAGAACGCUGCGAACUUCGAUACGUAAUGCGAAUUGCAGGAUUCAGUGAGUCAUCGAAAUUUUGAACGCAUAUUGCACUUCCGGGUUAGUCCUGGAAGUAUGCCUGUAUCAGUGUCC